RNAcentral lists this ribosomal RNA (235 nucleotides) under Enterobacter hormaechei. RNAcentral describes it as "partial 23S ribosomal RNA". It matches the Rfam family "Bacterial large subunit ribosomal RNA", at positions 2696 to 2925 of the family's 2925-position model. The record is from RNAcentral. Lineage: Bacteria; Pseudomonadati; Pseudomonadota; Gammaproteobacteria; Enterobacterales; Enterobacteriaceae.
AGUGGACGCAUCACUGGUGUUCGGGUUGUCAUGCCAAUGGCACUGCCCGGUAGCUAAAUGCGGAAGAGAUAAGUGCUGAAAGCAUCUAAGCACGAAACUUGCCCCGAGAUGAGUUCUCCCUGAGACCUUGAGUCUCCUGAAGGAACGUUGAAGACGACGACGUUGAUAGGUCGGGUGUGUAAGCGCAGCGAUGCGUUGAGCUAACCGAUACUAAUGAACCGUGAGGCUUAACCUU